ACAGGCAGUACGCUGAAUGCUCCAUCGGGAGCGCGGGGGAACCAUAUUCGUGAAUCUCUUUCUUCGGGGUGAGAGCCGAAGGACUGGGACACUUGGGGUGAAUCGGUAGAGAAGGACCAUGGCCUUCUCCAUACUGUAGGGCGACUCUCACUGCCCGAAUCCGACAGCUAACCUCGCAAGCGUUGUGGAGAGAGGAG
Molecule: small RNA, 197 nt
Filed under: Paenibacillus sp.
Lineage: Bacteria; Bacillati; Bacillota; Bacilli; Caryophanales; Paenibacillaceae
Also listed under: 1 other name
Description: c-di-AMP sequence
Rfam family: c-di-AMP riboswitch aptamer (ydaO/yuaA leader)
About the family: This family represents a conserved RNA structure found upstream of the ydaO and yuaA genes in Bacillus subtilis and related genes in other bacteria. The ydaO/yuaA element is thought to act as a genetic "off" switch for the ydaO and yuaA genes in its native state. It is believed that the element may be triggered during osmotic shock leading to activation of ydaO, a predicted amino acid transporter gene, and members of the yuaA-yubG operon which code for KtrA and KtrB K+ transporters.
Source: RNAcentral